Molecule: small nuclear RNA, 136 nt
Filed under: Echinops telfairi (small Madagascar hedgehog)
Lineage: Eukaryota; Metazoa; Chordata; Mammalia; Afrosoricida; Tenrecidae
Description: U4 spliceosomal RNA (ENSETEG00000024223.1)
Rfam family: U4 spliceosomal RNA
About the family: U4 small nuclear RNA (U4 snRNA) is a component of the major U2-dependent spliceosome.
Source: RNAcentral
AGCUUUGCGCCCGUGGCAGUAUUGUAGCCAGUGAGGUUUAUCCGAGGCGUGAUUAUUGCUAAUAGAAAAAAAAAAAGCAAAUUGAUAAAUUAUUAGGAACAUUUCAUAUUUGACUUUCUUUCUGAACCCACUUGUA